This 449-nucleotide ribosomal RNA is filed under the name uncultured bacterium. RNAcentral's name for it is "bacterial SSU rRNA". It matches the Rfam family "Bacterial small subunit ribosomal RNA", at positions 28 to 505 of the family's 1533-position model. The record is from RNAcentral.
GAUGAACGCUGGCGGUGCGCCUAAUACAUGCAAGUCGAGCGAGACGCAGUUGGAUUUAUUCAAUUGCUGACAGCGGCGGACGAGUGAGUAACACGUAAGAACCUGCCCUUUACUCAGGGAUAACUCAUCGAAAGAUGGGCUAAUACCGGAUAUUCUCUUCGGAGGAAAGCUCAGGCGGUAAAGGAGGGUCUUGCGGCCUAUCAGCUUGUUGGUGAGGUAACUGCUCACCAAGGCUAUGACGGGUAGCUGGUCUGAGAGGACGAUCAGCCACGAUGGAACUGAGACACGGUCCAUACUCCUACGGGAGGCAGCAGUAAGGAAUCUUCCGCAAUGGGCGAAAGCCUGACGGAGCGACACCGCGUGGAGGAUGACGGCCUUAGGGUUGUAAACUCCUUUUAUGAGGGAAGAAGAUCUGACGGUACCUCAUGAAUAAGCCCCGGCUAAUUACG